Molecule: ribosomal RNA, 492 nt
Filed under: uncultured bacterium
Lineage: Bacteria
Description: partial 16S ribosomal RNA
Rfam family: Bacterial small subunit ribosomal RNA
Source: RNAcentral
AUUGAACGCUGGCGGUAGGCCUAACACAUGCAAGUCGAACGGCAGCACAGUAAGAGCUUGCUCUUACGGGUGGCGAGUGGCGGACGGGUGAGGAAUACAUCGGAAUCUACUUUUUCGUGGGGGAUCACGUAGGGAAACUUACGCUAAUACCGCAUACGACCUACGGGUGAAAGCAGGGGAUCUUCGGACCUUGCGCGAGUGAAUGAGCCGAUGUCGGAUUAGCUAGUUGGCGGGGUAAAGGCCCACCAAGGCGACGAUCCGUAGCUGGUCUGAGAGGAUGAUCAGCCACACUGGAACUGAGACACGGUCCAGACUCCUACGGGAGGCAGCAGUGGGGAAUAUUGGACAAUGGGCGCAAGCCUGAUCCAGCCAUGCCGCGUGGGUGAAGAAGGCCUUCGGGUUGUAAAGUCCUUUUGUUGGGAAAGAAAAGCAGCAGGUUAAUACCUCGCUGUUCUGACGGUACCCAAAGAAUAAGCACCGGCUAACUUCGUG